AUACCACAGAGCACUCGGGAAGAGUUUUAGGGGCCAGCUCAAUUUCCAGCCUCACAACAUAAAACGGGACGGAUACAUUUCCCUUUGUCAGAGUGGAGGGUUUUGCCUCCACUCCACUCCACAAGGCGGACUUCAUUCCAGAGGGGAAAUCUUGGCACCAACUCCAUUGUGCCUUCUCAGUUUCCUUCUGGAUUUCCUGUUGCCUGGGAGCCUCGGAAUCCACGGAGCGGCUCGCUUCCCUUCCCCGGGCUCCAGGGGUGCCUGCAGAGCUGAGCUGGGAUGCAGGACCGACGCCGAGAAAGUGUACCAGGCUGGGUGUGGCAAGGGAAAUCAUCACAAUCCAAAAGAUGCUUCUCCCAGCCUGUGGGUAUAACUAAGCCUCGCAGUGAUGCCUUGCACUGAGACCCUGUUGCCAUAAGACCAGCCAGGAAAGGAGAGGAGUCUGUGCGUCACUUCCCAGGAGGCUUCGCUUCCUCCACACCCACCCAGGGCCUUGUUUGGCCAAACUUAGGCACGGAGAAGAAGGAAAGGGGGCGUACCAAAGCAGAGACACAUCCCAAAGGAGGGGCGCACAUCGCAUGGAGCUCAUUUCUAGUCACCAUCCAGCCCCAGCUGCUGACUCUCAUGGAUUCAUUCAGUACUCGUGUGCGAAGCGCCACGAAUGGAGCGGAGAGGAUUCAUAGAGAAGUGACAUAGAGUGGUCCCCCCGCUUAGUGGCAGGAGCCGCGCCCGAGACCCCCCACCGUGGAUGCCUGAAACCGCGGAGACUAAUGAAACCUACGUACACUGCGCUCUCUCCUGUCCACACAGAACCUGCAAGAAAGUUGACUUCAUAAAGUAGGCACAGUACAAGAGUAACAGCAAACACUCAUAAUAAAAUAGGACAACUGUAACAAUGUAGUGUAAUAAAAGUUAUGUAACUGUGGCCUGCCCUAAAAUAGCCUACUGUGCUAUACUCCCCCUCCUUCUUUUUUUUUUUUUUUAAAGAUUUUAUUUA
Long non-coding RNA from Mirounga angustirostris (Northern elephant seal), 997 nucleotides. RefSeq lists it as uncharacterized. The transcript has 3 exons. NCBI's taxonomy places the organism in Eukaryota, Metazoa, Chordata, Mammalia, Carnivora, Phocidae. The record is from RefSeq and is a predicted model, not a curated record.